RNAcentral lists this unclassified non-coding RNA (3158 nucleotides) under Hevea brasiliensis (rubber tree). The record is from RNAcentral. Lineage: Eukaryota; Viridiplantae; Streptophyta; Magnoliopsida; Malpighiales; Euphorbiaceae.
AAAAAAAAGAUCGAUCACCAUAAAGUAUAAUUCUGAACUGAAAGUAACCAAGAACAAUAAAACAAAACAAAUUACCAAAAUUAAACAAAGGGGACAACUUUACUACACAUUUCAUUUGUAUUUUAAAAUACUUACUACACAACACAUGAACAUAACAUUUGGAAAUAUUUGCCUUCAAAAAAUAAAACCUUUGGAAAUAGUUUUGCAGAUUCAUAUAAACCGAUGCAACCAGGACAAUCAGGAAACCAUUGCAGAAGUUUGAAAUCCUUUUAUGUCAUCCUUUGUAAAGUGUUGUUUUAAAGGAUCUCACUAAGUUGGUGAGGACCCAUAUUUGAUGCAUGCAUUGGUUUCGGUAAGGAAUUUGCGCCGCAUCUGCAUGGCUAAGGCAGUAAUGCAAAAUUUGACAAGUCCAAUUUGGGACCAAAACAACAAGGCUACAGUACAGCCACAUUGUUCGAUGAAAUAAAAUUAUGUAGGUCUACGUUAGCCUGCUCAAAUCUCUUUUGCAUCUUCAAAAAAGCAGAAAAAAACAGCCUGGGUCACAGUGCUUUACAACUCUGCAGAAGAUGGUUAUACAAAAUUUUUAAGUUCAAAAUUCCAGUAAAAUAUGAAGGUCCAUUUUAAAGUACGCUAAAAUAUUUCUUGUAAAAUAUAUUAGGCACAUAACAUGUUGAAAACAAAGAAUCCAUUCAGCAAAUAGAUGAUGCAUGGCUAAGUUUUCACACAUGAAAAGAUUAGUAAAUUUUCCACUUUUCUAAGUAAUGUGCUCAAGGCUCCAAGCACAAAUGGCAAUUCUCCAAAUUGUCACGUAUAUUGGUCUCAUGAGCAGACCGCAUGCAAGUGUGUGCAUGCAUGUGUGUUUGUGUGUGUAACGAAAACACAUACUUAAAAAGUGAAUACUGAAUACAUAAUAAAGCAGUCCCAUGCAAGUAAAAAAUGUUCUAUAUGCAUAUAAGAGAGCAAGAUUACCCAUUCCAGGCACUUGAUAAUCAUUCACAAUUUCAAAGUUCUUAUACGUGUAGCCCACAAAAUUGAGAUCUUUAGAUGAAAGCAUCUUUCUCCAUGGACCAGCUUUCGUUGAACUCUGAAUUUGGCUGUCAGCCUCUUCAAACUUCUCAAAGUUUUGAGUAUCCAACUCAUCAUUGACCUCAGGAAUAAAUGCGGCUUUCAUUUGAUACAAUUUGUCCCAUUCUAAACCUUUAAACCACGGGUGAGCCUUUAUUUCAUCUGCGCCUUUUGUUCCAAGCCUCUGGUCAACAUUACAUAAGAGUUUACUGAUAAGGUCUUUAGCUUCUGGAGAUAGCUUUGCUUCUUCUGGAAAUUUUAAAUGGGUUCUCCAGUUAACUAUCUUCCUACAAGUUGACAUAGGCUCAUCUGAAUAAAAGGGUGGGUAUCCCACAAGCAUUUCAUACAUGAUUGCCCCGAGAGACCACCAAUCACAUUCCAUUCCAUAUCCUUUCUUCAGUAAAACCUCCGGGGCAAUGUAGUCAGGUGUUCCGACUGUAGAAUAAGCAAGCAUCCUCCGAUUCCUCUGCCAAUGCUGCAAUUGCUCCUGUUGUGUGCGCUUUGGUGCUGCAGGGCGUCCAUCACUCUGAAGAGCUCCACUAAGGUUGUUUCCAAGUGAAAAAUCCUUUUCUUGAAGAUUGCUGCAAUCUAAUGGUUUACAUAAUCCAAAAUCUGAUAAUUUCAUGUGACCAUGUCUAUCAAGUAGCAAGUUAUCAGGCUUGAUGUCUCUGUGAAUAUAAUUAUGUUUAUGGAUAGACUCAAUGGCCAAGACAGUUUCACCAACAUAAAACCUUGCCUCAUCCUCGGUUAGUGUAUCCUUGCGCAUUAGUAAAGUCAUCAUAUCUCCACCAGGUAGAUAUUCCAUGAUUAGAUAGAGAUACUCUUCAUCUUGGAAGGAACAGUAGAGUUUGACAAUGCAGUUGCUAUCAACCUCUGCAAGUAGAUUUCUUUCAGCUUUCACGUGUUCAACCUGGCCUCUCCGAAGCAUCUCUGAUUUCUUAAGCUUCUUCAUAGCAUACACAUGACCAGUUGACUUUUCCCUGCAGAUUCUAACCUCCCCAAAUGCGCCCUUGCCUAUCAUUGUCAAGGGUUCAAAAUCAUCAGCACCCAUUUUAUGUCUCUGAAGGCGCAUGUAUUCUGUUUCCUUCUUCUCUAAAUACUUCAGUAAAUUAUUUUGCUCUUCCUCAGAGACCUCGGCAUCAGCCAACUUCUUCUCAAGUACAUUACGUCGCUCCUUCCUCUCUUGCAGGCUCUUCAUCUGCUUUUUGUAAUGGUUUUCAAUAUACUGCUUUGCAGCAGCAGCCCUCUGCUUGGUUACAUUUGAUGGUGCUUCUUCACUUGUAGGUGCUUUUGACCCCUCCUUCCCAUUGCCAGAGGUUUCCUUAUUUUUUGCAGACUUCAACUUAUCUUUUGAUUUCAAUUUGGUAAACCAACAUCUCACAGACUCCAUGUGCUUUAAUUGAUAAAUACCUCAACCUUUUUUUUAAGUGGGAAUAAAAAGAAAAGGAAAAAUGUUGUUGACCUGUACUUUUAGAUAUACAUUUGAUUACUGAGGCGCGUACACUUUUCAACUUGAGAAUGUAAUCUAACUGAUGAGAUCAAGCAGAUUUAUAAAUGGCAUUGAUUAUUGAAGACUUCGAGCAUUUCCUGUGUAUUUGGAAGAGACAAACAACAUUCAAUUAACUUAGAAUGGUUCAUCAUUGUAUUAUCAAUAAAUUCACACCAAUAUUAAUGUUAAAAAAUGAAAAUACAUGCAGCACUUCAGUGAGGAAAAAAAGGGUUAAAUAAACUAUGGUCCAUUUGGCAGCAGAAAAGAAACUGACAAGCACUGUCUGCAAAACAUAAUUUUCUGGAUGUUUUCAGCUAUCAGCCAGCUCCUGUUCUGAAAACUUUCAAGAAAAGAAUUGCAUUUCAACAUUUCUCAAAAUUUUCCAAUAUCUUAAGAAAAAGAACAAGAACUAUGCUCACAAACUGCACUAUCUGCUUCUGCUUCUGCCUCUCCUUUUUUUUUUUUCUGCAUUUCAAACAUAAAUAGUUCUUGAUUUUGCUGUACAACAUUCCAGCCUUAACCAAAGAACACAAUACAUUAUCCAAUGUAGCCCAAUUCCACAACUUCAACCAGUGGUAUUACGUUAUACCCUCUACCCGAAAGU